Molecule: ribosomal RNA, 435 nt
Filed under: uncultured bacterium
Lineage: Bacteria
Description: bacterial SSU rRNA
Rfam family: Bacterial small subunit ribosomal RNA
Source: RNAcentral
UCAGGCCUAACACAUGCAAGUAGAUGGGGUAGCAGGAUUAAUCUUGUUUAAUUGGUGACGACCGGUGCACGGGUGCGUAAUGCGUAUGAAAUAUACCUUAUAUUGGUGUAUAACCCGGAUAAAUUAGGAUUAAUCCCCCAUAGUACUGUUUUACUUCAUGGUAGAAUAGUUAAAGCGUCAGAGGUAUAAGAUGGGCAUGUGUCUUAAGAGUUAAAUGGUGAGGUAACGUCUUACCAUGGUUGCGAUAGGUAGUGGGCUUGAGAGGGUGGUCCCCCACAGUGGUAAUGAGAUCACGGACCAGACUCCUACGGGAGGCAGCAAUGAGGAAUAUUAGUCAAUGGGCGCAAGCUUAAGGGAGCCAUGCCGCGUGCAGGAAGAAUGCCCUAUGGUUUAUGGCUGCUUUUAUUUGGGAAUAAACCUCUUACGUGUGGAGAG